Heterocephalus glaber (naked mole-rat) is the source of this 5539-nucleotide non-coding RNA. Lineage: Eukaryota; Metazoa; Chordata; Mammalia; Rodentia; Bathyergidae. The record is from RefSeq and is a predicted model, not a curated record.
GAAAAGGACAUGUGACAAGAACCUGGCUCUCAUGGGACUGCUUGCCAGGGGUGCCAGGACAGAGAUGGCAUUGUUCAGAGAAGAUUCAGGAAGCCAAACAUCCGGAGACAAGGGUGCGUGGUCCACUCACCCCACAGGCUGGAAGAGAACAUAUUUUUUUUCCCCACAGAUCAAUCUGUAUAUUUACUUCCAAAGGGCACUCGGAGGACUUCUGGAAUAUUUAUUCUCUUCGGUCUCGAUGGUGGCAUUACUGAUGGGCCAGGAAGGCGACAGGGGACUGCUCUUCUGGGGAUGCUUUAUCUGUGGUAGUCCUUGAGGAUGCCCUCUGCUUCUCCUUCCGGUUGGACCUGGGGCAUGGAGAGAGCUCUUAGCUGCAUCCUGAGACACCUUGCCCUGAACCACACUUGGACGCCAGCCUGGGCCCUUGGGUGUGAGUACGUGCCUUCUUGGCCCUCCUGUCACCGGGAUGUGGGUUCCAAAGGCACCACCACUUGUUACCCUUAUUCCUGAGGCUCAGCCCUAGAUGGUCACAUAGCAAUUAUCAGUCAAUAUUGACUGGAGAUGCAGAUGAAUGGUGAGUGAGAUACGGCCUUGGUUCUGCUCUAUGAAAACACUCAAUAUGUCAAAUUAACCUGGUGCUGUAUCUACAGCCACAUCACUUGAAGCAUUGAAGCAGGCCUCUGGCCUGGAUAGAACACAAUGCAAGCAGGGACGAGCCUAGUCACCUCCUGUACAAGAUAAAGACCAAGACAAGUGAGGGACCUGUUUAAGGUCAUCCAGACCAGGACACACACACACACACACACACACACACACACACACACAGCCUCGGGCUAUAGCAGAGCCUCUGGCUCCCUGCUGCUGGCACCACCUCAGUCCUGCCUUUAGAGUCAGCAUGUGUUUUGCUCCUAAUAUACCUUGGAAUUCAGGCUGGCCUUUCUCCCGAUGAGUUCUAAUUAGUGAGGUUGUACUAGAGCUACAAAACUGCAGCUAGCAGAGAAGUAGUCCUUGAAUUAACAAAGCUGGGACCUGUCAGUGCCUGCUGCCUUCACAACAGCAGCGUUGCCAGUACUGGCAGUGGGAUGUGUGUUGAAUUUGGGGGGUGCAUUUAAGUCCUCUCUGCUCUGCAUUAUUUUUGUGUGUGUGCCAGGGAUUGAACUCAGGACCUCGGGCUUGCGAGAUAGGCACAGUGCUGCUGAGCUAAAUCCCCGGCCCUCCCGCUCUGCCUUCUACCUCCGAGGCCCUGCCACUGACUGUGGUCUGCAGAAGCCCAGGGGCCAUUCCUGUUGAGCCUAUCAGGUUGUUAUUGUUGUUUUUAGCAAACAGCUGAUGCCUCAUGGAAAAUUUAGCACUUGCUUAUUCCUGUUCCAUUUAUCUUCUAGCAUGUACAUUUUUUUUCUUCUAUAUUAGCAGGGGCACUUCCUGGAAAACUAGAUCUCUGUCACUUAGUGGCUUCACGUGUCCCUUCUGUUCCCAGAGUCAGAAUCAUAUGACAGAACAAUUGGUUGCUAUGGAAAUGACUGGACCACCCCAGGCAUCAGCCUGUGCCUGAGAGAAAGGAGAAGCUGUGUUCAUGGGGCGGGGCGUGGCAGGGCUGCAGGGAUCCUGAGCCUCAGACCAGCCACGGACUUCACUCAGCCUGUUUGGUCCUCAGUCUGCCCCUCUUCCUACUCACAGCUAUGUGUGUGUGAGACUUCACUUACCAACAGCCCUGCUAACACCUAACCCAUACAGAAAGCCCCCCCUGGCUUCUCUGCAUCCAAGUCCAAGUUAAAGAUCACUUCUUCAAUUUCAAUGGUUAAUCAUGCCUGGUCAACCCCUUUGCCAACCAAAAACCCUCCUAUUCCUAGUGAGUCUGUGCUUAAUUCAAUUGCUCACUUGCUUUGCUCCUCCUUGUUCUUUUUUCCUGUGUUACAGGCAGUACCCAGCCCUAGGAGCACAUCUGGGCUGGCUGGCUGUGUCUUCCCACAGAGCCCAAGCCAAGCUUGCCUGAGCACAGGUGCCCGAUACAUGCAGCUGGCUGACACUGAAAGCAAUGGGUGGAUCACCCCUUGGUCUGUGCAGUGAGAUCCACUCAGUCCUCCUUCAAGAGAAACAAUAAGCCUGGAGCAACAGUCAAAUUGGACAGCUCUGGGUCUAAUUUUGGACAUUGGUGCUGGAAUGAGUUUUAAGGCCCACCUGCCAGGAGGCCUCCCCCAUACAUCUCUCUACCCUGCAGAGUUCUCCUUCAGUGAGCAUUUUUGUCAACGUUGCUUGUAUUUUGGGAUAGUUCAGACCCUCACACGGUUUCACAGGCCCAUGGUUCAGUGAGAUUUUCGGAGACAACAGGAGCUCACCCACACAUGGAUUCCCCAGCGGAACCUCAGGGACCAGUGAGAGGCACGACUGGAGGCCUGAUGGACAAGGAGGUGGUCCCUGCCGCCACCCUUCAACUGGGGCAGCUCCGCUUGCUGUUACGACUGCCGUAGCCUCUUCUUUGGUUUCCCAGCUUCUGCCCUGGUCAACCCCCACCCCAAGCCCCCAUUUUCCAUCCAGUGUCUACAAUGAUUAUUUAAAAACAAUAGGGCCAGUCAUGUCACUCUUCUGCUCAGGACCCUAUGUGGGGUUCCCAUUGCAUUCGGUGACGUCUGCAGGCCCCACUGCUUCAGCCUGCAGCCUCAUCUUCAGCAUGCUGGCCUCCUCCACAUCUCAGCCAUACCCGACAGGCUCUUGGCUAACAGCUGGGCACUUCCUGUCCCUCUGCCCAAAGCACUCUUCACGGAUACCUCCGUCAUUCUGACCAUCCUAUCAAACGGCUGCCUGUUCCAUCAGCCCCGGGCCCCUCACUCUCCUCCGUGACUGUCUUCCCUAGCAGAGUACGAGCUCCCCCAGGUGAGGACUUUGCUUUAUUUGGGGCUGGAACCCCAGCACCAAGAACAGUGCCUGGCAGGUAGUAGACAUUCAGUGAAUAAUUAUCUUCGGAAUUACUCAGAUUGGUUUUGAGUCUAAAAAUUAGUCUGUACCUUUUCUUCUUUCCACAUUUCUGUCUUUUAAAAAACUUCCUGUAGUAAAUACGUAUUAUUUUCAGAGUCACAGCGAGCAGUAAAUGACAGUCUUUCCUCCAGGGCUGUUCUUUGGGAAGUCAUUGUUUGAGAGAAUGAUUUAAGAUAAAGGGAGGCCCUGCCCAAAGCCCUCUUGGGUCGAGCUGGCACUGGGUCUGUUCUGACUCCUUGUGCUAUAAUAAUACUGGGAAGCCCCCCCGGCUGCUCCUGGUGGUUGGGGGAAGCAGCGGGACUAAGCAGCCCUGCUUACCGGCCAGGCCCACACGCACCCGGCCCAGCCGGGGCUCACAGACACUCCCAAGCCUAAGCUCCCAGGCACCCCCACCUGGGCUCUGCUGCCCGGGCCAUUAUCUAACUGGCACAACCGGCUCUCCUCAGUCAGGGUGCCUCUUCCUGCUCUUUGGGGAUUGCUGCUCUGGGGCCAGGGACCUGAUGACUCUGCUGUUUGUGUGACUGGAUCCAAAACAAAGAAGUAUCUUGGCUCUGGGAGCAGGCUCUGGAUAUUGGAGUUCAGAGAAGCCCAAAGUGCUGGGCGGAAGCACAGUCCCACGUCCUGGAACAGUGUGGCACAGGAAAGCCCUCUCGCUGGACUAUCGGCGCAUUUUCCGAGGCAGACUGAUAUCUUUCUGAAACUCAGAAAAGAGAGAGACAACUAAAAGAGAGCGAGGAGGCCAAAUUUCCCCUCCCUCCUCCAGCCCCAGGGCUCUGCCAGGAGAAUUAUAAGGAGCCCGAGACCCUGCUGGAUGGGUCCUGGGGUCCUCUGGCUCCUACAUGCCUUAUUUUGACCCACAAGUCAGGUUCCAAGAAUUCAGGAACAGAGCUGUAUUCGGAGCCAAGGCUUUCCCAAGAUGCGCCACCCUGGUGUGCUGCCGGCUCCUAUAAAGAGCCAGACGGUAAACACUGUGGGCUUGUGAGCCACAUACAGCCUGGUCUCUGUCACCUAUUCUUUGGUGCUUUUUUUUUAACCGUUUAGAAACAUGAAAACGAUUCUUAGCUCUGAGGCCUUCCGAAGCAGGCUGUUAGAGGCAGCAAAGCACAGCCCCUUAGCCCAAAUCCAGCCCAUGGCCGCUUUUUGUAAAAUAAACCUUAAUUGAAACAUAGACACAUUAAUCUGCUUAUGUAUGAGCAGUUGAGACUGAGACUAUAAGGCCAAUAAAGCCAAAAGUAUUCACCAGCUGGCUCUUUAUAGAAAACAAAUUUGUCAAGCCCUGCUGCAAAGUAUAAUGCAAACAACUCACAGGUAUUCCAAUGAUCAGUGUUUCACAGGCAUUCAUUUCCAUUUCAGAUUGGAAACCUUCUCUGAGGUUAGUAGUAGCCCUUUUACAUAUGAGGAGACAUCCAGAAAAGUGAAGGUGCGGUGGCGUACACCUGUGGUCCCAGCACCCUGGGAGGGCUGAGGCAGGAGGAAUCUGAGUUCAAGUCCAGCCCAGGCCCCUUAGCAACUGAGUGCGACCCUGUCUCUAAAUAGAAAAUCUAAAAAGAGCCAGGAUGUCGCCUAGCAAAAAGACCCUAGGUUCAAUCCCUAGUACCAGAAAAAAGGGGGAAAAGAGAAAGGUUUGCCCAAGGCUGCACAGCUAGUGAGUGGCAGAAUCAGAGCCCAGGCCCCGACCUCCAACCUCUGUGACCAGAUGACCCUGCUCCUGAAACAGGGCUGCCCUGACGUCCAGAAUGUAUUUCCUGUUGGACUCCAUGAGGAGAGGCGGCAGCAGCUGCCUGGAUGGCAGGUCUGAGAGAAGCACAGAAAGCAACUGGCCUAAUAUUGGACAGAAACUCAAGCUUCUCCUGAAAUCCUGCUGCACGGGGAACAUCACCCAGGGCUUUUGGUGCACAGGAGAGAAGGCUGGCUGGCUCAUGUAACAGCUAGUCACGUCUCUGCGAAGAGCCACCAAGCUGCAGCAGUCUUCCCAAAGAGGCCUGCACUCGCCUCGCUGUAGCAGAGUCCCAGGGCUGCCAUUUCCGCUAGAACCCAGGAGGUGGUGCCAUGAUUUGUAUGAGAGAGACCCCCAAUGGACAUUGCUGGUAUUGCCAUUCCUAAGAGCAGCUCUGUGAACAAACAGCCUCAGGCUCCCAGGGGAACCCAGAGCCUGGGGUGUUCAAAGCUGUCACUGUCUUUGCAUAGCUGCCCCAGUACAGAAAGCUACGCGAGUGUCCUCCGCUUCAAAACUCGCCCUGAGUGACGCUGCUGCGUGCAUGUUGCUGCCGUGUCACAGGUCCCACUUGGAUGGCUCCUUUGGACUCCGCUUUUUGGACUUUCUGGCACUUUCAGAGUCCUGCUGCGGGGCAGAUCUGACCUCCCAUAACAGCUUGGCCUCUGUGGAUCUUUAUUUUCAUUGCCUUCGGUUCAGCUUCACCCUGGGCAGUUGUGUUCCACAGUGUAGUCACUUUGAGUUGUUAUUACCUGUGGGAUUUUAGUUUUUGAAUUAGACACCAAUAUUAUAAAUUAGGACCCUCAGUUCAAUCCCCGGUACCAAAAAAUUAAAAUUAAAAAAAAUAAAUUA